UGUGAAGAAGGCCUUCGGGUUGUAAAGCACUUUUGUCCGGAAAGAAAACUUCGUCCCUAAUAUGGAUGGAGGAUGACGGUACCGGAAGAAUAAGCACCGGCUAACUACGUGCCAGCAGCCGCGGUAAUACGUAGGGUGCGAGCGUUAAUCGGAAUUACUGGGCGUAAAGCGUGCGCAGGCGGUCUGUUAAGACCGAUGUGAAAUCCCCGGGCUUAACCUGGGAACUGCAUUGGUGACUGGCAGGCUUUGAGUGUGGCAGAGGGGGGUAGAAUUCCACGUGUAGCAGUGAAAUGCGUAGAGAUGUGGAGGAAUACCGAUGGCGAAGGCAGCCCCCUGGGCCAAUACUGACGCUCAUGCACGAAAGCGUGGGGAGCAAACAGGAUUAGAUACCCUGGUAGUCCACGCCCUAAACGAUGUCAACUAGUUGUUGGGGAUUCAUUUCCUUAGUAACGUAGCUAACGCGUGAAGUUGACCGCCUGGGGAGUACGGUCGCAAGAUUAAAACUCAAAGGAAUUGACGGGGACCCGCACAAGCGGUGGAUGAUGUGGAUUAAUUCGAUGCAACGCGAAAAACCUUACCUACCCUUGACAUGGUCGGAACCC
This 602-nucleotide ribosomal RNA is filed under the name Burkholderia sp. N6b21_1. Its description in RNAcentral is "bacterial SSU rRNA". It matches the Rfam family "Bacterial small subunit ribosomal RNA", at positions 404 to 998 of the family's 1533-position model. Lineage: Bacteria; Pseudomonadati; Pseudomonadota; Betaproteobacteria; Burkholderiales; Burkholderiaceae. RNAcentral also lists the same sequence under 4 other names. The record is from RNAcentral.